AGACGGAGGGCGCGAGCGUUGUUCGGAAUUACUGGGCGUAAAGGGCGCGCAGGCGGACGGGCAAGUCGGAAGUGAAAUCCCGGGGCUCAACUCCGGGACUGCUUCCGAUACUGCUUGUCUAGGGACCGGUAGAGGCUGGUGGAAUUCCCGGUGUAGCGGUGGAAUGCGUAGAUAUCGGGAAGAACACCCGUGGCGAAGGCGGCCAGCUGGGCCGGAUCCGACGCUGAGGCGCGAAAGCGUGGGGAGCAAACAGGAUUAGAUACCCUGGUAGUCCACGCCGUAAACGAUGGGUGCUAGAUGCCGGGGGGAGCGACCCCUUCGGUGUCGCAGCUAACGCGUUAAGCACCCCGCCUGGGGAGUACGGCCGCAAGGCUGAA
RNAcentral lists this ribosomal RNA (377 nucleotides) under uncultured bacterium. RNAcentral's name for it is "bacterial SSU rRNA". It matches the Rfam family "Bacterial small subunit ribosomal RNA", at positions 523 to 898 of the family's 1533-position model. The record is from RNAcentral.